Molecule: non-coding RNA, 211 nt
Organism: Camelina sativa (false flax)
Lineage: Eukaryota; Viridiplantae; Streptophyta; Magnoliopsida; Brassicales; Brassicaceae
Source: RefSeq, a predicted model, not a curated record
ACCUGGUCUUAUUGGACGGAUGGAGAUUCUGCAGUCCAUGCUCGUAAGAAGCCAAUGGCUGAAGAUUUGGACUAUAUGGCAGUUGCUAGCAUGACAGAUGGCAUGGUUGGAGCAGAGCUUGCCAAUAUCGUUGAGAUAGCAGCAAUUAAUAUGAUGCGUGAUGGAAGAACAGAGUUAACAACAGAUGAUUUGCUUCAAGCUGCACAAAUAU